GAUGAACGCUGGCGGCGUGCCUAAUACAUGCAAGUCGAGCGAACAGACGAGGAGCUUGCUCCUUUGACGUUAGCGGCGGAUGGGUGAGUAACACGUGGGUAACCUACCUAUAAGACUGGGAUAACUUCGGGAAACCGGAGCUAAUACCGGAUAAUAUUUCGAACCGCAUGGUUCGAUAGUGAAAGAUGGCUUUGCUAUCACUUAUAGAUGGACCUGCGCCGUAUUAGCUAGUUGGUAAGGUAACGGCUUACCAAGGCAACGAUACGUAGCCGACCUGAGAGGGUGAUCGGCCACACUGGAACUGAGACACGGUCCAGACUCCUACGGGAGGCAGCAGUAGGGAAUCUUCCGCAAUGGGCGAAAGCCUGACGGAGCAACGCCGCGUGAGUGAUGAAGGUCUUCGGAUCGUAAAACUCUGUUAUUAGGGAAGAAUAAACGUGUAAGUAACUGUGCACGUCUUGACGGUACCUAAUCAGAAAGCCACGGCUAACUACGUG
RNAcentral lists this ribosomal RNA (497 nucleotides) under uncultured bacterium. Its description in RNAcentral is "partial 16S ribosomal RNA". It matches the Rfam family "Bacterial small subunit ribosomal RNA", at positions 28 to 507 of the family's 1533-position model. The record is from RNAcentral.